Long non-coding RNA from Panicum hallii, 338 nucleotides. RefSeq lists it as uncharacterized. NCBI's taxonomy places the organism in Eukaryota, Viridiplantae, Streptophyta, Magnoliopsida, Poales, Poaceae. The record is from RefSeq and is a predicted model, not a curated record. The transcript is spliced from 3 exons.
GUUUUCUAGUUUCAACCGCUAAUACUAGUAGAUUUUUACAUGCUGCCGCUCCCCAAGACAGGCACCUCCCCUCCCAUCGAGGACCGGUGCUGCCCCGACUCCGACUCCGAGGACUGCCGCGGCGCUGCCCCGACUCUGACUACGAGGACCGGCGCGGCGCUGCCGCGACUCCGACGGCCACUCUCCCAUCUUCACCAUGGCCCUGAGCCUUGGACUACGAUCAUGAGGACUACCAAGAAUUGAUAGAUAUAAUCCAUAGAGCUUAUACCAAAUACGUUAGGAAAGGUGGGCUGCAUGACAAACAAAAGAAACAAAUGACUGUCCGUACACAUUUUCCG